ACGACCUUACUUGAACAGGAUCUGUUCUGUAGGCUCGUACCGCUGCAUCCUUUACCAAUAAGGAGGCAAGCACUUCAGUCUGGUUGAUGCAUUCUGACCUCUGGGCCAGAGCGUGAUUAACGGCCAGGAUUCCCCCUGAUUGGGGCAAUCCACGGCUGUAGAGGAUCGUUCCUGCCUUGCUCAUGCCUGUGCAGGGUGGCCCAGAGGUUGUCUGACAGACU
Molecule: non-coding RNA, 221 nt
Organism: Triticum aestivum (bread wheat)
Lineage: Eukaryota; Viridiplantae; Streptophyta; Magnoliopsida; Poales; Poaceae
Source: Rfam